GGGCCUAUAGAUCAGUUGGUUAGAGCACCGGAAUCAUAAUCCGUAGGUCGUAGGUUCGAGUCCUACUGGGCCCACCA
This 77-nucleotide transfer RNA is filed under the name Francisella tularensis subsp. holarctica. RNAcentral describes it as "tRNA-Met". It matches the Rfam family "tRNA". From Rfam's summary of the family: Transfer RNA (tRNA) molecules are approximately 80 nucleotides in length. Lineage: Bacteria; Pseudomonadati; Pseudomonadota; Gammaproteobacteria; Thiotrichales; Francisellaceae. The record is from RNAcentral.